AGGGUUGUGGCUCAGUGGUAGAGCGCUUGCCUGGCAUGCAUGAGGCAUUGGGUUCGAUUCUCAGCACCACAU
Molecule: non-coding RNA, 72 nt
Organism: Ictidomys tridecemlineatus (thirteen-lined ground squirrel)
Lineage: Eukaryota; Metazoa; Chordata; Mammalia; Rodentia; Sciuridae
Source: Rfam